GUGGGGAAUCUUGCGCAAUGGGCGAAAGCCUGACGCAGCGACGCCGCGUGAGGGAUGAAGGCCUUCGGGUUGUAAACCUCUUUCGGCAGGGACGAAGCGAAAGUGACGGUACCUGCAGAAGAAGCCCCGGCUAACUACGUGCCAGCAGCCGCGGUAAGACGUAGGGGGCGAGCGUUGUCCGGAUUUAUUGGGCGUAAAGCGCGCGUAGGCGGCCGCGCAAGUCGGAUGUGAAAACCCGGGGCUCAACCCCGGGCGUGCAUUCGAUACUGCGCGGCUCGAGACAGGUAGGGGAGAUCGGAAUUCCUGGUGUAGCGGUGAAAUGCGCAGAUAUCAGGAGGAACACCGGUGGCGAAGGCGGAUCUCUGGGCCUGUUCUGACGCUGAGGCGCGAAAGCUAGGGGAGCGAACAGGAUUAGAAACCCUUGUAGUCC
This 430-nucleotide ribosomal RNA is filed under the name uncultured bacterium. RNAcentral describes it as "bacterial SSU rRNA". It matches the Rfam family "Bacterial small subunit ribosomal RNA", at positions 354 to 796 of the family's 1533-position model. The record is from RNAcentral.